RNAcentral lists this ribosomal RNA (460 nucleotides) under uncultured bacterium. RNAcentral's name for it is "partial 16S ribosomal RNA". It matches the Rfam family "Bacterial small subunit ribosomal RNA", at positions 338 to 795 of the family's 1533-position model. The record is from RNAcentral.
CCUACGGUGGGCAGCCGUGAGGAAUAUUGGUCAAUGGGCGGAAGCCUGAACCAGCCAAGUAGCGUGAAGGAUGACUGCCCUAUGGGUUGUAAACUUCUUUUAUAUGGGAAUAAAAUGUUCCACGUGUGGGAUUUUGUAUGUACCAAAUGAAUAAGGAUCGGCUAACUCCGUGCCCGCAGCCGCGGUAAAACGGAGGAUCCGAGCGUUAUCCGGAUUUAUUGGGUUUCAAGGGAGCGUAGGUGGAUUGUUAAGUCAGUUGUGAAAGUUUGCGGCUAAACCGUAAAAUUGCAGUUGAAACUGGCAGUCGUGAGUACAGUAGAGGUGGGCGGAAUUCGUGGUGUAGCGGGGAAAUGCUUAGAUAUCACGAAGAACUCCGAUUGCGAAGGCAGCUCACUGGACUGCAACUGACACUGAGGCUCGAAAGUGUGGGUAUCAAACAGGAUUAGAUACCCCUGUAGUC